Molecule: ribosomal RNA, 253 nt
Filed under: uncultured bacterium
Lineage: Bacteria
Description: partial 16S ribosomal RNA
Rfam family: Bacterial small subunit ribosomal RNA
Source: RNAcentral
UACGGAGGGUGCAAGCGUUAAUCGGAUUUAUUGGGCGUAAAGGGGGCGUAGGCGGAGAUGUAAGUCAGAUGUGAAAUUCCGAAGCUCAACUUCGGAGCUGCGUCUGAAACUACAUCCCUUGAGGGUAGACGGAGAGAACGGAAUUCCAAGUGUAGCGGUGAAAUGCGUAGAUAUUUGGAAGAACACCCGUGGCGAAAGCGGUUCUCUAGUUUACACCUGACGCUAAGGCCCGAAAGCGAGGGGAGCAAACAGG